This 434-nucleotide ribosomal RNA is filed under the name uncultured bacterium. RNAcentral's name for it is "partial 16S ribosomal RNA". It matches the Rfam family "Bacterial small subunit ribosomal RNA", at positions 29 to 507 of the family's 1533-position model. The record is from RNAcentral.
AGCGAACGCUGGCGGCAUGCCUAACACAUGCAAGUCGAACGAACCUUUCGGGGUUAGUGGCGGACGGGUGAGUAACACGUUGUAACGUGCCUUUAGGUUCGGAAUAACUCAGGUAAACUUGUGCUAAUACCGAAUGUGCCCUUCCGGGGGAAGAUUUAUAGCCUUUCGAGCGGCCCGCGUCUGAUUAGCUAGUUGGUUGAGGUAAUGGCUCACCAAGGCGACGAUCCGUAGCUGGUCUGAGAGGAUUAUCAGACACAUGGGGACUGAGACACGGCCCAGACUCCUACGGUAAGCAGCAGUGGGGAAUCUUGCGCAAUGGGCGAAAGCCUGACGCAGCCAUGCCGCGUGAAUGAUGAAGGUCUUAGGAUUGUAAAAUUCUUUCACCGGGGACGAUAAUGACGGUACCCGGAGAAGAAGCCCCGGCUAACUUCGUG